This 75-nucleotide ribosomal RNA is filed under the name Rodriguezia lanceolata. RNAcentral's name for it is "partial 5.8 ribosomal RNA". Lineage: Eukaryota; Viridiplantae; Streptophyta; Magnoliopsida; Asparagales; Orchidaceae. The record is from RNAcentral.
CGAACCAUCGAGUCUUUGAACGCAAGUUGCGCCCGAGGCCAGCCGGCCAAGGGCACGUUCGCUUGGGCGUCGAGC